Molecule: ribosomal RNA, 434 nt
Filed under: uncultured Lachnospiraceae bacterium
Lineage: Bacteria; Bacillati; Bacillota; Clostridia; Lachnospirales; Lachnospiraceae
Description: bacterial SSU rRNA
Rfam family: Bacterial small subunit ribosomal RNA
Source: RNAcentral
ACGGAAGGCGGCAGUGGGGAAUAUUGUACAAUGGGGGAAACCCUGAUGCGGCAACGCCGCGUGAGUGAUGAAGUAUUUCGGUAUGUAAAGCUCUAUCAGCAGGGAAGAUAAUGACGGUACCUGACUAAGAAGCUCCGGCUAAAUACGUGCCAGCAGCCGCGGUAAUACGUAUGGAGCAAGCGUUAUCCGGAUUUACUGGGUGUAAAGGGUGCGUAGGCGGUAUGGCAAGUCAGAUGUGAAAGACCGGGGCUCAACUCCGGGACUGCAUUCGAAACUGCCAGACUGGAGUACAGGAGAGGCAGGCGGAAUUCCUAGUGUAGCGGUGAAAUGCGUAGAUAUUAGGAGGAACACCAGUGGCGAAGGCGGCCUGCUGGACUGUUACUGACGCUGAGGCACGAAAGCGUGGGGAGCAAACAGGAUUAGAUACCCUGGUA